This 243-nucleotide ribosomal RNA is filed under the name uncultured bacterium. RNAcentral describes it as "partial 16S ribosomal RNA". The record is from RNAcentral.
CUGCUGCCUUCCGUAGGAGUCUGGGCCGUGUCUCAGUCCCAAUGUGGCCGGUCGCCCUCUCAGGCCGGCUACUGAUCGUCGCCUUGGUGGGCCGCUGCCCCGCCAACUAGCUAAUCAGGCGCGGAUCCAUCUUAUACCACCGGAGUUUUUCACACUGCGCCAUGCGGCGCCGUGCGCUUAUGCGGUAUUAGCAGCCAUUUCUGGCUGUUAUCCCCCAGUAUAAGGCAGGUUAUCCACGUGUUA